CCUACGGGAGGCACCAGUGGGGAAUUUUCCGCAAUGGGCGAAAGCCUGAUCCAGCAAUGCCGCGUGUGUGAAGAAGGUCUUCGGAUUGUAAAGCACUUUCGACGGGGACGAUGAUGACGGUACCCGUAGAAGAAGCCCCGGCUAACUUCGUGCCAGCAGCCGCGGUAAUACGAAGGGGGCUAGCGUUGCUCGGAAUGACUGGGCGUAAAGGGCGCGUAGGCGGUUUAUGCAGUCAGAUGUGAAAUCCCCGGGCUUAACCUGGGAACUGCAUUUGAGACGCAUAGACUAGAGGUCGAGAGAGGGUUGUGGAAUUCCCAGUGUAGAGGUGAAAUUCGUAGAUAUUGGGAAGAACACCGGUGGCGAAGGCGGCAACCUGGCUCGAUACUGACGCUGAGGCGCGAAAGCGUGGGGAGCAAACAGGAUUAGAUACCCCAGUAGUC
Molecule: ribosomal RNA, 440 nt
Filed under: uncultured bacterium
Lineage: Bacteria
Description: bacterial SSU rRNA
Rfam family: Bacterial small subunit ribosomal RNA
Source: RNAcentral